AGAGUUUGAUCCAUGGCUCAGGAUGAACGCUAGCGGCAGGCCUAAUACAUGCAAGUCGAACGGUCAGUAGCAAUACUGAUAGUGGCGCACGGGUGCGUAACGCGUAACCAACCUACCUGCAUCUGGGGGAUAGCCCGCCGAAAGGCGGAUUAAUACCGCAUAUACCAGCAGCCUGGCAUCAGGCAAUUGGGAAAGAUUUAUUGGAUGCAGAUGGGGUUGCGUAGCAUUAGCUAGAUGGCGGGGUAACGGCCCACCAUGGCGACGAUGCUUAGGGGACCUGAGAGGGUGAUCCCCCACACUGGCACUGAGAUACGGGCCAGACUCCUACGGGAGGCAGCAGUAGGGAAUAUUGGGCAAUGGGCGAGAGCCUGACCCAGCCAUGCCGCGUGCCGGAUGAAGGCCUUCUGGGUUGUAAACGGCUUUUCUCAGGGAAGAAAAAGAGGAUGCGUCCUACACCUGACGGUACCUGAGGAAUAGCAUCGGC
RNAcentral lists this ribosomal RNA (484 nucleotides) under Flexibacteraceae bacterium JJ-398. RNAcentral's name for it is "bacterial SSU rRNA". It matches the Rfam family "Bacterial small subunit ribosomal RNA", at positions 8 to 497 of the family's 1533-position model. The record is from RNAcentral. Lineage: Bacteria; Pseudomonadati; Bacteroidota; Cytophagia; Cytophagales; Cytophagaceae.